Molecule: long non-coding RNA, 602 nt
Filed under: Trifolium pratense (red clover)
Lineage: Eukaryota; Viridiplantae; Streptophyta; Magnoliopsida; Fabales; Fabaceae
Description: long non-coding RNA (TPRA_LNC010824)
Source: RNAcentral
AUGACCUCUAUCUAUUAUCAUUUUCAUGCAAUUAGGCCUAGCAGUAAGUCAUUAACUUGAAAGGUUUUAAUGAUUGGAUUCUUUAACAACUUAAUAAACUAUACUACUUUAUUAAUAAUAACUUGAACUAUGAUUCAAUAUUGCUGAUUUGUGAAAUGAUGUCAAUAUGAAGGUGCCAAUGUGAAAACAAAUACAGUAUCUCUUCUCAUGCUAUAUGAUGAUGAAGAUAUAUAUAUAUAUAUAGAGAUUACUAUUUUGAUAUCAUGAUCCUUAUUCCAAAAGUCAACUAACUCUCAAUGGUCUAAAACUAUUCCUUAAUCAGCUAAACACCAAGCCAAAUUGUCAUCUACAACCAAUAAGUUGGCUGUAAUGCCAAGCCAAAUUUAAUAAGCUGCUAUUUGGAGAAUAAAACUAUUGGCUGACUGUUGCAAAUUACCAUAAGCAGCGGAUAAAAGUGACUCCUCCGAUGAGCCUGAGAUCCAGUAUUGAUGCCUAGUGGUUGCCAGCAAGUGAGCUCUAUGGUCGCCAUGUGACUGAAAAUUAAAAGAUCAGUUCCAGUCCUCACCCAUUCACGGAGACAAACCAUGUCCAUGUCCAAAAAU